UCUGGUGUCAGCCGCCGCGGUAAAACCAGCACCUCAAGUGGUCAGGAUGAUUAUUGGGCCUAAAGCAUCCGUAGCCUGCUUUGUUAGUUUUCGGUUAAAUCCAUACGCUCAACGUAUGGGCUGCCGGGAAUACUGCAAAGCUAGGGAGUGGGAGAGGUAGACGGUACUCGGUAGGAAGGGGUAAAAUCCUUUGAUCUAUUGAUGACCACCUGUGGCGAAGGCGGUCCACCAGAACACGUCCGACGGUGAGGGAUGAAAGCUGGGGGAGCAAACCGGAUUAGAUACCCGGGUAGUCCCAGCUGUAAACUAUGCAAACUCGGUGAUGCAUUGGCUUGAUGCCAAUGCAGUGCCGCAGGGAAGCCGUUAAGUUUGCCGCCUGGGAAGUACGUACGCAAGUAUGAAACUUAAAG
RNAcentral lists this ribosomal RNA (410 nucleotides) under uncultured Nitrososphaerota archaeon. RNAcentral describes it as "bacterial SSU rRNA". It matches the Rfam family "Archaeal small subunit ribosomal RNA", at positions 451 to 861 of the family's 1478-position model. Lineage: Archaea; Thermoproteati; Nitrososphaerota. The record is from RNAcentral.